GGUGAACGCUGGCGGCGUGGAUAAGGCAUGCAAGUCGAAUGGGUUUAGACCCAUGGCAGACGAGGUAGUAACACGUAGGUACAUCCCCCAGAGUCGGGCAUAAUCGGUCGAAAGAUCGGAUAAUACCCGAUGGUCCCGCAAGGGUAAAGAUUUAUCGCUUUGGGAGUGGCCUGCGUCGUAUCAGCUUGUUGGUGAGGUAAUGGCUCACCAAGGCUAUGACGCGUAGGGGAGGUGAGAGCCUGACCCCCACCGAUGGAACUGAGACACGGUCCAUACUCCUACGGGAGGCUGCAGCCGAGAAUAUUCCGCAAUGGACGAAAGUCUGACGGAGCGACGCCGCGUGAAGGAUGACGGUCUUCGGAUUGUAAACUUCUUUUAUGAGGGAGGAAAUUUUGACGUUACCUCAUGAAUAAGGGGCUCCUAAUUCCG
This 429-nucleotide ribosomal RNA is filed under the name uncultured bacterium. RNAcentral's name for it is "bacterial SSU rRNA". It matches the Rfam family "Bacterial small subunit ribosomal RNA", at positions 28 to 505 of the family's 1533-position model. The record is from RNAcentral.